CAAUUUCUGGCCGCUAAAACCUCCCAUUUUAAAAAAACCAUCUUGAUCUCAGGACUGAAUCCAAGCUAUUCCAAAAAAAAAAAAAUGGCUGACGCUCUUAUCAGCUCCACAAUUCAGGUCACCUUGGAAAGGGCACUGUCUCUUGCCUCUGAUAGGAUUGGUUUGCUGGUUGGCUUCAAGAAGGAUGUGGCCGGCAUGACACGUUCUCUCCGCCUGAUCAAUGCUGUCUUGGCUGAUGCUGAAGCAAAGCAAAACCAGGACGGAGCAGUGCAAGAAUGGUUGAAUAGUCUCGAGGAGGUUGCUUAUGAUGCUGACAAUGUGUUGGAUGAGCUCCACUAUGAAUCUCUUCGUCACCAGGUGGAGUCCCGAAACCGACACAAGCUCAAGGUAUGCUGCUUCUUCUCCUUCUCUAACAUUAAUCUUGCUCUUCGUUGGAGAAUGGCUUCUAAGGUCAGGGACAUCAAAGAUAAGUUGAAUGAGAUCAAUCAACGAGCCCAUGGAUUGCUACUGGUCAGUAGGGCAGUCGUGACAGCUGCCCUCCCUGCUGCUCCUCCUGCUGGAGACACGAGAAAUCGGCAGACCGACUCUGUUGUUGCUCCAAUGGUUGGAAGAGCCGAUGAUGAAUCAAAGAUAGUGAAGAUGUUGUUGAGCCGUCCGAGAAGGUUGUUUCUGUUCUUCCCAUAAAUGGUAUGGGAGGUCUAGGCAAAACAACUUUGGCUAAAUCGAUAUACAACAAUCACCAAAUUGAUGGGCACUUUCAGAAAAAGAUUUGGGUUUGCGUAUCGGAAAAAGUUCCAAGGGUGGAGCUUUUCAAACUCAUUUUAGGCCAAUUGAAUGACAAAAAGGAUGAAGUGGGAGAUAGGCAAAACAUCGUUCAAGAAGUUGGGAAGGAACUAGGGAAAUUAAGAUAUCUCCUGGUUCUAGAUGAUGUGUGGGAUGAUAGUCAGACAUUGUGGGAUGACUUCUUCAACACCUUGACGGGACUCAAUCCAAUCAAUCCACCCAAAGGAAGCUGGUGUCUAAUCACUACUCGUUUGCAUCUAGUAGCACAUAAAGGCUAUCCCUUAGGAAGACUACCGGGCGAUCAUUGUUGGUCUAUCCUAAAAGGAAAAGUAGUUGACGGGGAAGAAGUGCCUAAUGAAUUGGAUGCAAUUAAAGACAGAGCUAUACAAAUAUGUAAUGGAUUACCACUGGUUGCAAGUGUACUUGGUGGUUUGUUGCGCUUGAGGAAAGACAAAUGGCGAUCAAUUUUGGAGGAUAGACUUUUGAAUUUGAAUGAAGCCAUGCAAAUACUUCAGUUGAGUUUUGAUAAUCUACCAUCACCAGCCAUCAAGAAAUGUUUUGCUUAUUGUUCUAUUUUUCCCAAGGAUGCUGAGAUGGAAGGGGAUAUGCUGAUCGAACUUUGGAUGGCAGAAGGCUUCCUUCAAGUAGAUCUCAAGAACAAAACAAUGGAGGAAAUUGGAGAAUAUUACUUGGAAAUUUUAUUGCAGAGUUCUUUGCUGGAAGAAAUAAGAUAUGAUGAGAGAAGGUGUUAUAAAAUGCAUGAUAUGGUGCACGACGUCUCAAAAUCAAUAAUGUCAAAGUCUACUAAAGUCAUUAAUUCGGAGAUUGGUUCAGAAGACAAUAGUAAUCAGGUUCGUUGUCUUGUAAUAGAAUCAUUUGGAGAUGGCGCAAAAAAUCUUUUUGAGAGUCGAUCAAAUUUGCUUCAUACAUUGUUUCUAAGUCAGGGUAGCUUAUCUGAUGAUAUGCUAACGAAGUUGAAGAAUUUGCACGUUCUGAAAUUGUCUGGUGUACAAAAUCAGAAUCUGCCAAUCUCAAUUGGCAAACUGACACACUUGAGGUACAUCAACUUUGAGGGUUGUACAAUUGAAACUUUGCCGGAAUCUGUUUGCAAACUUUAUAAUUUGCAGACACUGAGGCUAAAGAGAUUCGUUCUUAAAGUUCUUCCGAAGGGGACGUGCGAUUUGAUUAGCUUGAGGCAUCUCCACUUUUACACCACUAAAGAAUUUCAAAUGCCACUGAAUAUGGGACGGCUGACUUGCCUUCAGACACUCGAGUUCUUUAAUGUGGGUCGAGAGAAGGGUCGACGAAUUGGAGAGCUUGGAAGCUUGAAGAACCUCAAAGGCAAAUUAAUUAUACACAAUCUUGAAUUAGUAAAGGAUAAGGAAGGAGCUGAGGAAGCAAAAUUAUCUGAAAAGACAAAUCUAUUUAGGCUGCAACUUGAGUGGGCCCAUGAUCUAGAAGGUGACGACUACAACGACAAAGAUGUGUUAGAUGGCCUUCGACCCCACCCAAAUUUGGAGGGUUGUUAAUCUUUUUUUUUAUGGGCGAUCAAUUUCCUCGAUGGUUAAUUUUGCCAACAACAAAACACUCCUCGAGUCAGCAACAACACUCCCAAGUUAGCGCGUUUGGAAUUUAAUCACUGCAACAGAUGUCGAGAACUCCUUCCCCUGCAAACUUUAUGUCUCUUACAGAGCUGCAGAUUGAUGGUUGCGAUGUGGUUGACGAAUCUGCCAGGUGACAUGCUACACUUAUGUAUCUCCAGGAGCUUCGGGUGACUAAUUGCAAAUCUUAUCUCCUUUCCACUUGAUUUGCAACAAACGCCUUCUCUCCUGUUGCUGGUAUUAACCUGUUGUCCCAAACUGAAAACAAGCAUGACGCCCAAAGGAUUUGGUUUCUGACCAGCUAAGGGAGCUUGAAAUUGGUCCCUUCUCAGAUGAUGGUGAUGAUCAUGAAAAUUCUUCAAUUUACAAUGAGUUUAUUGGUCUGGAUUGAUAUCCCCUCCUCCUCCUCUUCGUCAUCCGCACUCCGUAAAUUAGGAUUAAUUGGGUUGCACACAUGGAGGCCCUGCCACAUCAGAUCCAAUACUUGACCACUCUCACGUCAUUAACUCUGGCGUGACUUUGGAGGUAUAAAAGCUCUGCCGGAAACUUCGCUGCUCUGAAAAGUGGUUAAUUGGUUUCAAAGAGCUUCGACAUCUACCCUCUGAGGAUGCCAUGAGAAGUCUCACCAAACUAAAACUUCUGUGGGUUUAUCGUUCUCCUCUGUUAAGAAGAAGAUGCACUCCUGAGAGCAGCCCCGACUCCCAGUGGUCCAAAGUUUCUCACAUUCAACACCUACGCAUAAUCGGUUAAUAACCACUAUCUUCAGAUCAAAUUCAAUCAUGAUUGAUAGAAGAAUAGCUUCACGAACAGAGGUCAGAAUUUUGAAACUUCUUCAGCACCGUCUAUAUGGCUAGACCUCAAUAACUUUUGGCCUGAAUUUCCUACAAAUAGCCUAUCAACGUUUAGAACAACUAGCAGUCUAUUUUUGUUUAUUUUACGUGCUCUGCUUCUGUGGAUUUUAAGUUAUUAUUGCUAAAGUCAUCUCACUCUGUUUAAAAUUGUGAUUCUAAGGGGACUGAACUUUUACCUCUUGAUAAUGAACUUGCAUAUUUAUCUGAACUAUUUGACUAGUAAUUGCUCCAUCAGAGUCAUAUAUGAUGGUUUUCUGGCUCACUUCUCCUUGAUUUUGGCUUUUUAGCCAUGAAGACAAUGGUCAAUUGAGGAGUUUUUGCAGCUGUUGGUCAUCACUUUCAUGUUUGGUUAAAAAUUCUGAAAUCUUGUCAUCACGAAGAUAUUUUUGAGGUAGCCAAGGAAGGUGUACUCUUUGAGCAACGAAGUUGCACAAAACUUGGUGGAGUAUCUUCCAACAUUUAACUCUAAGCGCAAUGUUUUGAAGCAUUCCGGUGGUUGGUCAAGUCUGCUUGUUCCGACUUGCUACUGUUAAUGAAUCCACCUUGAUAAAGGCUUUUAAGCUCUCUCUGCUUUUAUGAUUGUUGGUUGCUUCUUUUUUUAUGUUUGCAGUGAUUUUGGGCACAAAGCUCAACAGGGAACCUCAUCGAUGGCUCUUACGUACUAUCUUUACUUUUUGAAAGUCCUACAAUUCGUUGCUGAACAAGAUCCUGCUUCGGCUGAAUAGCAACAUCUAGGAUGGCAUUCUCUCUUUCUCUGUGCCUCAGAUGGUCAAAGUCUGAGAUAUCCAUUGGGAAAUGAUUAGGAUGGCACCCUACAGGCACACUUUUCUUUCUUCCUGGUGUCUAAAACCUGAUAAAAUGGUCUAUCUUUGUCAGUUGGCCUCUACAAACUGCCCACUAGAAUUUCUUUCCCCAGCUUAUGUAAUGUCUUUCAAGAUCAAGAGCCAUCAUUACCAUGAAUUUCUGCUGAUGAUCAUGGGGGGUUUGGUUGGCGAUAGAGCUUGUAUUAGAGAAAUAGAUUGACAAUGAGGAGCUUGCAAAUUUUCAAGAAAUACUGUAAGGUGAUAGAAAUUGUACAAUAAGAUGAUUUUGUUGCAAAACAUCUGAAGGUUUAAAACGUCUGCUUCCAAGAUGUUGUCUAGUAAUGUAACAGUAAGGUGUUCAAGAGGAGAUUAUUUGAUGUGGACAGUUAAACAUGAUGUCAAAGCUGAAAACUUUGUAUUUUCAUCUACGUGACUUUACUUUUGAAAGUCUUUCUUGCCUUGAAAGUAUAUCAUCUGAUAAUUGGAACAACAACAGAGUAGGUCUGCCAAGUUGGACGCAGAGUCGGCCCUUUCUUCCUCUUCAUCAUGAUUGAAAGUUAUAGGAGUUUCCCAGAGCUGUUGGUCAUCAAAUUGGUUUUUUGAUUCUAAGAGUCCGCCAUGGAAGAUGUACUGUUCAUGCAGUGAAGCUGCACAGACUUGUUAUAGUAUCUUCUAACACAAUCAAGUCUAAGCUGCAAGUUUUGAAGCAUAUCGCUGUGGUUAGUCAAGACUGCCAAGCAUGCUUGUUGGCUGCAAUUAAUUCAUCCGCUGUGAUGAUGGCUAUUAAGCUCAUUCUACCACCUAUACUUGUUGAUAUUGCUCAUCUCUUCAUGUGAUUUUACACUCGAAGAUCAACAUUAACCUUGAUAGCUCGCUCUUACUAUCAUUUGUAAUGAAGUCCUGUGAUCCCUUGUUGAACCAGAUCCUGAUUCAGUAAGAUCAGAUGAAAACAUCCCGGAUGGAACUCCCUUUUGCUCUCUGCCUCGGAUGGCCAAAGCCUCAGAUCUUCCUUGCCGGCUGUGAUUUUAAACUGUCCAACCGAUUCAGCAAUUUGUAGACAUGUUAAUGAGGUGCUCUUUUACUUCUUUUGGAACACAAUUUGCCAUAUCUUCCGUGCUGCUUGUACUUCAAAGUAGCCAGUCUUUUGCAGCAGAAAGAUGUGGAUUAGCUGAACCCUGCUAGAUAACUUGCAUCCUUCUUGAAAGUUGUAUAUUUGGCUAUUCGUGUUGAAUUCCGUUAUACUGAGCUAAAUGUUAUUUUCAUGCUCACUCUCUGUUAAUUUAAUGAAACUGACAUCAACUUCCUGAUUGAAUUCGUAUCAGUAAACUCUAGUUGAUAUGGCAUUUUUAAUC
Coffea arabica (coffee) is the source of this 5390-nucleotide non-coding RNA. Lineage: Eukaryota; Viridiplantae; Streptophyta; Magnoliopsida; Gentianales; Rubiaceae. The record is from RefSeq and is a predicted model, not a curated record.